Molecule: long non-coding RNA, 1835 nt
Organism: Ruditapes philippinarum (Manila clam)
Lineage: Eukaryota; Metazoa; Mollusca; Bivalvia; Venerida; Veneridae
Exons: 2
Source: RefSeq, a predicted model, not a curated record
AAUUUUAUGAUAUAUAUAUAUGUACUCAACUGUCUGGAAGUGUUUGAAAUAUAAGAGAAAUAUUUAGCUUACCUAUUUUAGUUUGUGAUGAAAUCUGAAAAAAAAAUAUUUGAACCACUCUGAAAUCCUGUUCCUAUGUUUUGUCAGUACUUUUGAUUUAUGAAGUGCUCUCAAUAGGGCCUAUAUUUACUUUGUUAAGGGGUAAAGUACAAUGUUACAUAAACCAUAUUGCAACUUUUCUAAACCACUUGGCCACCCUUACUUAAUCCACAAGGUUACUGCCAGCAUUUAUUCCAUAGGCUUAUUCUCUUAUGGGCAAUUGUAAUAUCGAAAUAUUUGAGGAUUAUAACAAGCAUAGUUGAAGUUUGGUAAAUCAAAGUGAAAGAGACUUGCGUAAGAAUUUCCGGGGCAUCUGGACUUGUGUAUCGGUCUUAAUUAAAUGACCAGAAUUCAAGCUGUCGAAGUUUGCAAGUGACUUUUUGAAAGGCAUAACUAUUGGAAAGGGCAAUAACUUAACCAGCUUAUACAUAUUUUUGCACAUAGGAAUGCAUACAAAGUCUGUUAGAUGUAAUUAACAUGCAUGUUUAAUUGGUAAUCAUUUGGACUCUAGAAAAGGUUUAAAAAAAUCUUUCUUUCUGGGGAUUAAGUGUCAUGUAAAUCAAAGGUUUUGUCUUGUUAAGGGUAAAACGUUCUUGAUUAAUUCUUUAUGGACUGUGUAAAAACUUGGACUCAUUGGAAAAAAACACCUCAAAAUUUCAAGUGGUAAGGUUAAAAAAUAUAUAAAGGGGGGGGGGGGAAUCAGGACUUUUCAUUUUAUAUAUCGAGAAAAUCAAUCGGCUGGCUAAUAGAAAGAAGUUCUACUGUUAUUACACAGGUUAUAUAAGCAGAAAGAAGUUUUACUGUUUUUACACAGGUUAUGUUAACUAAGAAAUGAUGAACAAACAAAGACAAGCAUAUGACUGAUAAACAGUGCUGAUAUGUUGUUCUGAUCCUAAACAUAAAUGAUAUACAGUAAAAGAAACUCAAAUUAUUGAAGGGAUGUUGCUAACAAAGGUCAGUUCCACCCAACAAACCUGCCUGCUCCUGAAAAGUAGUGUUAUAAUACUAUAUAAAAUCAUUCUGGAAACAUUUAAAUAAUAAUUACCUACUUCACAACUGGAGGUUAAAACUUUGUGAAGUAGAUAAUUAAUAUAGGCAUCACCAAGAAGAACCUUUGUUAAUUUUUCUAAAUAAAACUUAGGAACCCUUUUAAAGAACUUAAAUGUGUCUAAUAACCAGGUUUCCUGAAAGACUGGAGUGGUUAAAAUCAGAUUCAAGCUUUCAUCACAAAUGACAAGAAGACAGUGUUCGAAAUUAGCAGUAGUCCUAUAGUCCCAGACUACUAAAUUUCUCCUCGGGCUACCAACUUUUCACAGUAACAAGCCCGACCAGACUACUGCAUUUUCAGAGGCAAUAUAAACAACUGUUUUGAACAAAUGAAUAAUGCUAGUGAAAUGUUUUUUGGGCUAGUGUAUAUUCCAAUCUGGUAGUCUGACCAGCCUAGUUGAUUCAAAUCCUAAUUUCUUACACUGAGAAGAGCAAAAUAUUUUUGAACUAACAAUAUCCUUAAUAGUUUUAUGAAAUAACAAAAUGAACUGAUGAACAUUUGAAGACAAGCAUAUAACUGAUAAACAUUGCUGAUGAUUUGUUCUGAUCAUUUUGACGUGAAUUAAGUAAUAAUCUGUAAAUUUUCUUUUUCCAUUUUGUAAGUAGAAAUAUUUGGAAAAUUGAUAUGAUGAACAUAUAUAGACAAGCAUAUAACUGAUAAACAUUGCUGAUGAUUUGUUCUGAUCAUU